Molecule: long non-coding RNA, 632 nt
Filed under: Taeniopygia guttata (zebra finch)
Lineage: Eukaryota; Metazoa; Chordata; Aves; Passeriformes; Estrildidae
Description: lncRNA (ENSTGUG00000023111.1)
Source: RNAcentral
UUCCCCGCACGGCUGGUCUGAGAUCGUGGGGAAAAGUCGAGUCUGGCCCGUGUGCCCCAGCCGCGAUCCCCGUUCCACCGCCGCGUGCCCUGCCCGUCCGUGUGACACAUCUCCCGAGCCUGUUGCCGUGCCCAGAUGCAGAGGUGUCUGCGAUGCGAGUGGCGUGUCAGCGCGUGUUCUUUGUCCUUGAGACUAACUCUCUCUUCUAGGAGUAUCCUUGGCACUCACAUGGAUGAAGAGCAUGAGAAAAUAAUCAUGAAACUGAUGGGGCUUCCUCAUCUCAGGAAGACCCAAGUCCUGGAAAGAACGAAGCUAUGAAGCAUUGACUGAAGAUAUUUUGCCUUUUCAGGCUGAGAGGUGUGUAAGACAACAGUGUUGUCUGUUCCAGAGGUGGGGCUGACGUGUUUUGCUUCCUGACAAUAGUAGUGCUGAUGGUGGAAUUUGCAAUUCCACACCAAGCCACAAAGCAUUUCAGAGAUCAAUGGAAUGUUAUUGACAGGUUUUAGUUAAGAAGUAAUAGUUAAAAAAAACCUAUGACUCCUACUGUGAGAUCUGAGAUAACAUUAAGAGUGUUACGAGAGAAAAAGUGCAUGGAAAACCACACAAAUACAGACACUAAGAUUCUGAUGAGU